Talpa occidentalis (Iberian mole) is the source of this 135-nucleotide small nuclear RNA. RefSeq annotates it as U4 spliceosomal RNA. NCBI's taxonomy places the organism in Eukaryota, Metazoa, Chordata, Mammalia, Eulipotyphla, Talpidae. The transcript has a single exon. The record is from RefSeq and is a predicted model, not a curated record.
AGCUUUGCGCAGUGGCAGUAUCGUAGCCAAUGAGGUUUAUCCGAGGCGCGAUUAUUGCUAAUUGAAAACUUUUCCCGAUAACACACUUUUGUACGUUCUUUUACUAUUUUCAUUCUAUGUCUGGAAUUAUAUUUA